This 253-nucleotide ribosomal RNA is filed under the name uncultured Gammaproteobacteria bacterium. RNAcentral's name for it is "partial 16S ribosomal RNA". It matches the Rfam family "Bacterial small subunit ribosomal RNA", at positions 524 to 776 of the family's 1533-position model. Lineage: Bacteria; Pseudomonadati; Pseudomonadota; Gammaproteobacteria. The record is from RNAcentral.
UACAGAGGGUGCGAGCGUUAAUCGGAAUUACUGGGCGUAAAGCGUGCGUAGGUGGUUUGUUAAGUCAGGUGUGAAAUCCUUGGGCUCAACCUGAGAAUUGCAUUUGAUACUGGCGGACUAGAGUGUGGUAGAGGGUAGUGGAACUCCCGGUGUAGCGGUGAAAUGCGUAGAUAUCGGGAAGAACACCAGUGGCGAAGGCGGCUACCUGGACCAACACUGACACUGAGGCACGAAAGCGUGGGGAGCAAACAGG